This is a long non-coding RNA of Panthera uncia (snow leopard), 1243 nucleotides long. RefSeq lists it as uncharacterized. Lineage: Eukaryota; Metazoa; Chordata; Mammalia; Carnivora; Felidae. The transcript is spliced from 3 exons. The record is from RefSeq and is a predicted model, not a curated record.
GACAGGCUCAGCAUUCCUGUCAGCAGAAGACUCUGUUGGCUGAUGAAGCGGACCAUGGGGACACGUUGGAGGUAUACUAACUCCAUGGGUGCAGUCUUGGGGACGGCUGAUGUCAACAGUUCCUUUUGAGUAUUUUACUGUCCCAGAUUAGAGUCUGUCCCACAUUACACCAAGCCCUUUGUUCUCUAACCAACUGCCUUUCUAUGUGUCACACACUGGGCACAGAUAACCAGACCGAAACUAGACGAUCAGAAGGCUAGUUCUCCAAACCGGGCAACUUUACAAGGUCAGGGCAGUGGGCACUAAAGCGUCAAAUGCAGGAGGCAACAAAUAGACUGCAGUGAUAAAUGUUCAAGGCUAAUUACUCGAGAUUGAAAAUGGGGGAAUAGAGGUGAAUGAAAGAGAGAAAGAGAAAGAAACCUCCUAUCUGAAAUUGAAAUCCUUCCCCUGAAGAAGCACACAUCUGGAAUUCAUUCUUGCAGCAGGCAGCCACAGACUAGCUCUCUACCAGGACCCUGCCCAGCCACCGUGUGACGGUGACUGAAUACAGGCUGUGCUUUGCGUGGGGCUGAUAGAAUGUUUCUCUGAUAAAUAUUCCUGCCAAAGUUAGUUUUCGAGCCAUGGUUCAUAAAUAUACAGUAUUCCAGCAAAAAAGUACAGAAUGUCCUCCUGGGGCUGACAAGCAAAUAGUUUCAUAAAUAACCCUCUUGACACAUGUAAGAUGUUAGCAUUCUUGAGGUUUGGGGCAAGGGCAGAUGUGGAUUUAAUUGCUCGAUUCAGUCUGGAGCCACACUGGACUUGGACGUUACCUCUUGGGGGCCGAUGGAAAUGUUUUUCUUGGCUCGAGAUAUCGCGUUGCUUGUCAACACUGAGGACAAAGGCUUCUCCUCAGGACAUUCUGGUCCAGCGUGGAGUGCUGCACAGGCAGGAAACAAAACCUGAGAUGCCCUCAGGGGCAUUGGAUGGGCCUGCUCCUGUUGAAUGGUGACCAGGAGCAGAUACUGAUGCCACAGGAAGAGCAGAGGGAGCUGGAGGAGUGAAGGCUGAGAGGUGAGUUAUUAACAAUUUCCGAGUACAUGAAGCACUACAGAGCAAAAGUUGAGACACAGCUGUUCUCAACAGCCACCAGAGUCAGAAAAAUAAGCAGGAGGAGGGAAUUAAAAAAGAUCUAGAACAGUAUUAAGUACAGGAGAGUGUGGCAAAUAGUAUCCAUUCACGCAGUCAUUCAGCAAACCUUUACUGA